This 479-nucleotide ribosomal RNA is filed under the name uncultured bacterium. Its description in RNAcentral is "partial 16S ribosomal RNA". It matches the Rfam family "Bacterial small subunit ribosomal RNA", at positions 28 to 507 of the family's 1533-position model. The record is from RNAcentral.
GAUGAACGCUAGCGGGAGGCCUGACACAUGCAAGCCGAGCGGUAUUGCUUCAUCGGAAAUGAGAGAGCGGCGUACGGGUGCGUAACACGUGUGCAUCCUGAAUCUAUCUGGGGGAUAGCCUUUCGUACGGAAGAUCAAUACUCCAUAAUAUAUUGAACGGCAUCGUUUAAUAUUGAAAGUUCAGGCGGAUAGAGAUGGGCACGCGCAAGAUUAGCUCGUUGGUGAGGUAACGGCUCACCAAGGCGAGGAUCUUUAGGGGGCCUGAGAGGCUGAUCCCCCACGAUGGUACUGACACACCGACCAGACUCCGACGGGAGGCAGCGGUGAGGAACAGUGAUCAGUGGGAGCAAGCCUGAACCAGGCAGCCCGCGUGAAGGACGACUGCCGUUUGUGUUGUAAUCUUCUUUGGGAAAGAGAUAAACCUACCUUCGUGAGAGUAGCUGAAGGUACUAUACGAAUAAACACCCGCUAACUCCGUG